RNAcentral lists this ribosomal RNA (482 nucleotides) under uncultured bacterium. RNAcentral describes it as "partial 16S ribosomal RNA". It matches the Rfam family "Bacterial small subunit ribosomal RNA", at positions 30 to 507 of the family's 1533-position model. The record is from RNAcentral.
AUUGAACGCUGGCGGCAGGCCUAACACAUGCCAGUCGAGCGGAUGAAGGGAGCUUGCUCCUGGAUUCAGCGGCGGAAGGGUGAGUAAUGCCUAGGAAUCUGCCUGGUAGUGGGGGAUAACGUCCGGAAACGGGCGCUAAUACCGCAGAAGUCCUGAGGGAGAAAGUGGGGGAGCUUCGGACCUCACGCUAUCAGAUGAGCCUAGGUCGGAUUAGCUAGUUGGUGGGGUAAGGGCCUACCAAGGCGACGAUCCGUAACUGGUCUGAGAGGAUGAUCAGUCACACUGGAACGGAGACACGGUCCAGACUCCUACGGGAGGCAGCAGUGGGGAAUAAUGGACAAUGGGCGAAAGCCUGAUCCAGCCAUGCCGCGUGUGAAGAAGGUCUUCGGAUUGUAAAGCACUUUAAGUUGGGAGGAAGGGCAGUAAGUUAAUACCUUGCUGUUUUGACGUUACCAACAGAAUAAGCACCGGCUAACUUCGUG